This is a long non-coding RNA of Leopardus geoffroyi (Geoffroy's cat), 1152 nucleotides long. RefSeq lists it as uncharacterized. Lineage: Eukaryota; Metazoa; Chordata; Mammalia; Carnivora; Felidae. The transcript is spliced from 2 exons. The record is from RefSeq and is a predicted model, not a curated record.
UGAGGGAGGAUGACUCUGCGGGUGCCCUGCCACGCUGGGCUUGGUGGGAUCAGUCCGCCUCGUGGACAUCCAGCACAGUCACCUCUGUCCUGGGGACUGACACCUCCUGAAUCUCUGCUGGAAAUGUGGACCCCGCACUAGAGGACUUGACUCUAUCCUAACUCCUCCAAACCUAACUGGGGUUUACGUAAGCCACCCCCGGCCCCAGCUGCCAACUCGGCCCUUCCUUUCCCUCCAUCUCCCCUCAGCCCAGGCUCCGGAACUGGGAAGCCGGGCAUCUCACUUUGCUACUGGUUUCCCUUAGGCCCGAGGUCUUUGGGACUCAGAGGCAAACAUCUGUCCGUUCGGUCAUGUCUCCCACCCACACGCCAUCCCCUCCGAGAGCGCCGCUCCGGAACAGGUGCACGUACAAGAGAAGGCAAAUCUGGAGGCCUGGGCGGCAGCUCCCACUUGCCCUGCUGAAGCCAGACUAGAAGCUGCAGAUGAGGUACCGGGCCCACGCGCAUGCUGGGGAAGGCCCAACACAAAGCAGCAGCAGCAAGCAAGGAGCAGAGUCUUGCAGUGGGAGAGAAGGAAGCAGGACACCUGGGUGCUAAGCCCAGCUCUGCAACCCCGAGCACUCACAGCCCCAUGUGCAAGUGGAUGGACUAAAGCAGGGCAGUGGGGCCAGUGGCUGAUCAUUAGAAUCCCUCAUAGAAUAGCGACAGAAAAAGGUUCCUGGGCUAUCUAUCCACCUCAGACCUACUGAGUCAGAAUCUCCAGGGCUGGUGCCCAGGGAAUCUGUAUAUUUCAAAGCUUUCCGGAAGAUUCUUGAGGUCUGUCGGGACCAAGAAUCACUGGACACCAUAGAUAAAACCCAGACCCCUUUAAGCUUCAAUAAUCACCCUCUACUGCUUGUACACUUUAGUUAUUGCCAUUGGUAUAAGAGUCCAAAUGCCCCAUCAUAAGGAAAGAGCUCACGCCCCCUUAAAGCUGCGCUGAGAGGCUUCUCAGAAACUUGGGGACUUCUUUAGAGCUCAUAUGGUCUCUAGAGCUAUUCUGUCGGCAUUCUGAGCUGGCCAACUUCAAGAAACCGCCCCACGCAUUGUAAGAUACGUAGCACACCUGGCUUUUAUUUGCUAAAUGCAGUAAAAUCUUGGUUUGCGAGCAUAA